AACGAACGCUGGCGGCGUGCCUAACACAUGCAAGUCGAACGAGAAAGGGGCUUCGGCUCCGAGUAAAGUGGCGCACGGGUGAGUAACACGUGGGUAACCUGCCUCUAAGAUUGGGAUAACUCGUCGAAAGAUGAGCUAAUACCGAAUAAGACCACAGUUCCCGCGGGAACAGGGGUCAAAGGUAGCCUCUGCUUGCAAGCUAUCACUUAGAGAUGGGCCUGCGCACCAUUAGCUAGUUGGUAGGGUAACGGCCUACCAAGGCAAAGAUGGUUAGCUGGUCUGAGAGGAUGAUCAGCCACACGGGAACUGAGACACGGUCCAGACUCCUACGGGAGGCAGCAGUGGGGAAUAUUGCGCAAUGGGCGAAAGCUUGACGCAGCAACGCCGCGUGAGUGAUGAAGGCCUUCGGGUCGUAAAGCUCUGUCGGGAGGAACGAAUGCUCCUGAGGUUAACAGCCUCGGGAGGUGACGGUACCUUCAAAGGAAGCACCGGCUAACUCUGUG
This 503-nucleotide ribosomal RNA is filed under the name uncultured bacterium. RNAcentral describes it as "partial 16S ribosomal RNA". It matches the Rfam family "Bacterial small subunit ribosomal RNA", at positions 29 to 507 of the family's 1533-position model. The record is from RNAcentral.